UACGUAGGUGGCAAGCGUUAUCCGGAAUUAUUGGGCGUAAAGCGCGCGCAGGUGGUUUCUUAAGUCUGAUGUGAAAGCCCACGGCUCAACCGUGGAGGGUCAUUGGAAACUGGGAGACUUGAGUGCGGAAGAGGAAAGUGGAAUUCCAUGUGUAGCGGUGAAAUGCGUAGAGAUAUGGAGGAACACCAGUGGCGAAGGCGACUUUCUGGUCUGUAACUGACACUGAGGCGCGAAAGCGUGGGGAGCAAACAGG
Molecule: ribosomal RNA, 253 nt
Filed under: uncultured bacterium
Lineage: Bacteria
Description: partial 16S ribosomal RNA
Rfam family: Bacterial small subunit ribosomal RNA
Source: RNAcentral